RNAcentral lists this unclassified non-coding RNA (156 nucleotides) under soil metagenome. RNAcentral's name for it is "partial internal transcribed spacer 1". The record is from RNAcentral.
CCGAGUUAUCAACUCCCAAACCCCUGUGAACAUACCACUUGUUGCCUCGGCGGGAUCAGCCCGGCCUCCGGCCCGGUAAACAGGACGGCCCGCCAGAGGACCCCUAAACUCUGUUUUCUAUAUGUAAUCUUCUGAGUGAAACCAGCAAAUAAAUCA